GACGAACGCUGGCGGCGUGCUUAACACAUGCAAGUCGAACGGAAAGGCCCUGCUUUUGUGGGGUGCUCGAGUGGCGAACGGGUGAGUAACACGUGAGUAACCUGCCCUUGACUUUGGGAUAACUUCAGGAAACUGGGGCUAAUACCGGAUAGGAUCUCCUGCUGCAUGUGGGGGGUUGGAAAGUUUCGGCGGUUGGGGAUGGACUCGCGGCUUAUCAGCUGGUUGGUGGGGUAGUGGCUUACCAAGGCUUUGACGGGUAGCCGGCCUGAGAGGGUUACCGGCCACAUUGGGACUGCGAUACGGACCAGACUCCUACGGGAGGCAGCAGUGGGGAAUAUUGCAGAAUGGGCGGAAGCCUGAUGCAGCAACGCCGCGUGCGGGAUGACGGCCUUCGGGUUGUAAACAGCUUUCGCCUGUGACGAAGAGUGAGUGACGGUAAUGGGUAAAGAAGCACCGGCUAACUACGUG
Molecule: ribosomal RNA, 468 nt
Filed under: uncultured bacterium
Lineage: Bacteria
Description: partial 16S ribosomal RNA
Rfam family: Bacterial small subunit ribosomal RNA
Source: RNAcentral